Apis cerana (Asiatic honeybee) is the source of this 4216-nucleotide long non-coding RNA. RefSeq lists it as uncharacterized. Lineage: Eukaryota; Metazoa; Arthropoda; Insecta; Hymenoptera; Apidae. The record is from RefSeq and is a predicted model, not a curated record.
AAUUACGUGGAAAAUCAAGAGAUAAUGAUAAUAAAUUUCGAAACACAUAAACAUAUGGAUUCAUAAUCUAUUCAAGUGUUCUGAAUCUACUGUGAGAUACUUGAUCCCAUCGCUACAAUGAUAACUCGAAUAGGAGGAAACAGAGGGGAGAAGAGUCAGUCAGUUCUCCCUGUGCCGGUGUUCGCGCCACAGAUUGCAUCAGCACGCCCUUAAUCCUAUUAUGACUAAGUAAUGACUCCUUAGUAUGCCGACUCGAGAACCGUAAAAAUGUUGUGUCAGAUGCUAUCUGACUGGUUGUCGUUUGGUAAUUUACCAUACGUCCAGCAUCGGCUAAAGGUCCAGUUCAUCUUGUUAACCACAUUUGUUGAAAAAGUGACAUGACUCAAAAUUUACAUUUAUCGAAUUAAUUCUUUGUCACGAAGAAUGAACAUUUCUUAAGAAACAUCAAGCAAUCACUACUGAAGAGAAACAGAAAAAGAGAGAGAGAAGGAACGAUGGUAUUUAUAGCUCGUUCGAAUUCUAUGGAUCUCGAAGGGAACACGACAAGUAAUAAGUUUCGUUUAAGUCUGAGCAAUCAGAUAACGAUCGGAAUUUUGCGGCGAGAAGAAAGAGAGAAUCGAGGGAGAAGGAAAGAUUGUAUCCAAUCUACUUGUAAUUAUAUGCGAUGGAAUCUGGUAUGUAAGGAUUGUUUAACGGUAAACGAUGAAUUGGUGCAAAUAGCAGGACUGAACAGUUAUUUAACGAAAUUGCCAUCUGAUUAAGGGGAUUGCUUUAAAGUAUACGUAUUGUGAAAUAACUGAUGAACAGGAGAAUAUAUUCACCAGAUAUUGAACAAGUUCCUUGAACAAAUUGUGCAUAGAUGAAUGAAUGGAGAUGAAUUUUAUGGAUGAUUCUUCAAAAAGCAUUAUUGUAGAGAGUAACACAGUGUUGAGGAGACAUUGAAUAGUAAAAUGAAGAAGUGUGAAGUAAAUAAUUGAAUAAAAUAAAGAUAUAAUUAUAAUCAAGUAAGAAUUUUUGAAAAAUGUUUAAAGAAAGAGAGGAGUUAAAAAAAUUGAACGAAAGAAUGUUUUUAUUAAGUCAAUCAAUAUUUAAAUAAAGUUGAUAUAAAAGUAUUGAUGAAAAAGAAAAUGAUUAUAAUUAAGAAAUAAGAAAACAACAUCAAAGCCGCAAUGAGAAUCGUAAAGACGAGCCAACAGAACCAUAAAAGCAACGCAGAACAAUAAAUCUAAUAUCUCGUAAAACUCUGGUUCCCUCUUCCAUCAUCAACGAUUAGGAAUGAUUCUCGAGAGAUUCUUAAUAACGAAUGAUCCCAAAUCCAUCAAAACUCGGAACAACGAAAAUAUCCUAUCCUAUCUGUGAAGAAAGGAGUCUUCGAAAAAAAUAUGUAAAAGGGUCCACCAGAAACCAGUUCAGAUUUAUCGCUUCCGCUAUAGUGAAAAAUAUGAAGCAAAUUAACAUGCCCAAGUAAUAUUGUUACGAUGAUUUAUGGGUGAAAACACGAGGAAGCUGUCCAACGUCAUUUCAAGCGGCAAAGAGAAUGCGAAUUUGCAAGAAACUAAACCGACUGCAUACCAACGAGCCUGAAACCCAAGAAAGCCGACCUUUCCGCGAUAUCUUCACCGCCUUAAUUCCCUGCGAAUCUCAUGAAAAAAAGGCGUGAACAUCGUCCAAAGGGAUUUAAACGGCUACUUAUCCUCGUUCGGUUUGGUUUGUGAUAAACCAGGAAAGAAAAUACAAAGAUAAAAAUGGAUGUGAUAAUAUGUGUAAGUUUAUAUGUUUACGUAUUUUGGCAUAGAGAUAGAACAUCUCGAGUGACAUAAGUAUUUGAAUGAUUUUAAAAUUCAUUCAACUUAAAAAAACAUUUUGAUAAAAAAGAAUUGUCACAAAAACUUAUUUUCUUCAGUUUUAAUCACGCAAACACAUUGCAAUUAAUUGCUAAUACAAAAAAUAAUUGGAGACAACAUACAGAACCGCUGUGUUACAAUACUUGUCACUGAAACGAGUUCAAAUCACGUUGCUCUAAGGAUGCUUUUAAUUUGAAAGCAAAUUCUCUAAGAUAAUGUAUGAACUUGGCAAUGUUUUCCAGAUGUCAUCUCUUUCUCGAGAUUCACAACGAGGAUAAAGUUGUAAGAACUCGUAUCUACGAGGCGAAUUGUCAGCUUUGCGAAACGAAAAAAAAAAAGAACAAAAAGAAAGAAAGAAAAAAUAAAUAUUACGACUGUGUUACGAACGUGGUUUACCGGUAGCCAACACGUAGAAGCUACUCUUUGUACGUGGAAUAGUUACGAGUUCUUCGGGUUUUGUUUAAUAUGCAUGGAAACGCGCCUGUUAGAGCAUAUGCUUUCAUAUGUUUACCGCUUCCAAUUUCUCAUUGUUAUCAGAACUACUGACUUAAACGAUAUUCUUGUAUAGAGAAAGAAUGAAAGAACGAAUUCGAAAGUUUUAGAGAAAAUAAUAAUGAAUUAAAUAAAAAAAAAACUCGAAUCUUUCUAAAGGUAUUUUUCAAAGCAAGAAGACUGACAAAAAUCUAAAAUGGACAGGAUAGGAUCCAAGUACAUUUAAAAAACAAAAUACUACUAAAUAAUCUUAACUCGAAAUUUUCUACAAAUUCUUAAAUAACAUAAAUCCAUUCAUAAAUAAGAUCACUUAUUUAACUACAAAUCUCAGUUUGUUUGUUUCACGAUUUUUCAAGAAAAAAAUGUUCAAGAUCGAUCAUUUGUUCAAUUCACGUUCAAUUGUCUUUCUAAAGAUAAGGAAACUGAGCAACCCAAAGAUGUCGCAUACUCUCAAAUCAUUUUAUCCAUUCAAAGCUUAUUAUUCACACGUUUUAAACGACGUCUAAAGUGCAGUGACAUCUUUUUUCGACUGUCACGCCUUUAUCGUGUUCACUUUUACGCGGCCACUCGUAUCGAUCUGACAGUGGCGUAAAAGCCGUGACAGAAUGCCUUCACCGACCGUCUUCGCGGAAUCCUAAGAAACUUAGUCAGGAACUCUCUGUGUUGCAUAUCGGAAGUCAGCAGCCCAUUGCUGGAUGACAAAUCGUUGGUUGGCCGAGCUGACAGCUAACAUCCAUUGACCGUUUUACAACUUGAUAAAUUGUAACAUGGAGGAUCUUCUCGUUAUAACAGAUGGUGUACGCGUUAAGCACCCAUUUUUUAAAAUUACUUCUUUAUUUAAGGAUCUUUAUUUUUUUGAUCUUGUUCAAAUCAUUGGAACAUGAUGAAAUAAUGCAAUAUAUACUACAAUACGCCAAAAAUUAAAAUUUUCUGAUAACAGUUGAAUUUAAUCUUCUUUUUCUCGAUUCAAGUCGCACAAGAUUUUCUCCAUGCUGGUCUGAUUUAUUCAUACAUUCAUUUACUCUGUAAUUUAGUAAAUUCAUCAUUUGAUUCAUUCGUAAUCGCUAAUGUCUCUAUAAUAUUCUCGGUUAAUAAUCAAUUAAGACUUGAUUGAAAAGUAGCAACGUUAAUGUAAGAUGAAUUGCCGAAUUGAUGUCGUAAUAUCGAAUGAUUAAUGGAAUGAUAAAUCGUUGAAAGAAUGAUCGCCUACUCGAAAACGAUCGAGGAAGGUGGAGUGGGUCGUUUAAUGAUUCGAAUACGUGAUUGUAACGUUGCAGUUGAUUAUUAACCGUACAAUUUAUUGUAUCAUAAAUGUCUACUUUCAUGUCUAAUUUUUUACCGUCUCGUGAUAUAUACCUUAUUGUGAACAAACCUACGAGUUCGCUAUAAAGCUUAAUUACUUAACCUCAAUAUUAACGAGAAUAGGAAAGAGUAUCGAUGAAACAUUUUACCGGGACGAUACAUAUUGUAAAACGAGAUAAUUCGAUUCUAAAUAAUCAAAUAUUUCUAAUCCUGUAUCGUAAGAUUUAAUUUAUUAUUAAUUUAUGUAGAUCGAAAUAAAAGCAUAAAUCGAAAUUAUCCGGAAAAAAAAAAUAUUCGAGAAAAAUAUCGUGAUUAUUUGCAACAUCAUAAAUAUAAGAUCUCCUGUAAUAUUCUGAUUUAAAGCAAAAGGCACACUAGAGAUCAUUAUGGAAAUCGCUAAAUCUAAUUUCCAUAAUAGAUAAGUUGUAUAAAUUAUUUCAACAAGAUUUUAAUGCAGCUAGGUUAGAAAUUUAUUAUAAUAUUGUUACAAUAUUGUUAAUAUUUUUAUGUUAAUGCAUGUCGGUGCAAUCAUAAUGUAGUUUUAAUUAAAUGUAAAUAAAAUGUAACGAAAUCGAAAA